Molecule: small RNA, 95 nt
Filed under: Pycnococcus provasolii
Lineage: Eukaryota; Viridiplantae; Chlorophyta; Pseudoscourfieldiophyceae; Pseudoscourfieldiales; Pycnococcaceae
Description: partial Betaproteobacteria transfer-messenger RNA
Source: RNAcentral
GGUGCGAGGCUUGCGGGACGCUGCGAGGUGGUUCGCUGCCCCCCGCCUCCACCCUAGCAUUGCACAAGCGCCCCGCCGCGAAAUCCCUGUCAUCG